GCAGCAUGAAUAAGAGCAGGAGGAGGUCAGUUAUUGGUUUUGAUCAACAGCCUUCUUUUUUUUUUUAAUCAUGAGAUUAGGAGAAAUGGUGGAAAUGUUCAGUUUUAGAUAUUGAGGCUCAUGAAUUUUAAAAAACACUGCUUUAUAAGGAUGUAGGAUCAUUUUGCUAUAAAGCUACAGCUUAGCUUAUCUAAAAGACACAAAGAACAACUAUCCUGGCAGUCCAUCCACCUGCCAGCUCACAUUCAUUCAGCAUGAGGGUGUAGGAAGUGUUCAUUACCAUUUUAAGAUUUAAAGUUGUAGGGUUGGCUAAAUCAAACCCCUCAGUUUAACCCCACCUGCCCUCUUUCUUCUUUUUGUUGUUGUUGUUGUUGUUGCAGUCAGCAAACAAAAGCGAGGUGUUAAUGUGGUGAUACUCCAGCGACUUUUUGUGCCAACCUGUGACACGUGCAGUGUAAGAACCGUUAGCUGAGAGUUUAAAACUUAUUUAUCAUGGUUUUAAGUGUCCUGCGCUUAAAAACGCUAUUUUAACACAGUCUAUCAGACAGCAUCAAUGAGAAUUUUUAUGCAAUACAUAACAAAUACAUGGAUUUAAUAAAGCUGUGUAAUUAAAUCAACUUCUAUAUUUCAUACUUUGUUUUCUUUAACUGUUUAUAUAAUUACUCAUUAACUGAAAAUGUCUAUUUUGAUGGACAGCAAUGUUUCUUAUAUUAAAACAGCAUGUGUUAAGGUACAUAGCCAUACAUUCAUAACCCAUGUCCUUAAAGUCUUCCUGUCUUACUUCUUUGGCUCUGCUAUAUGGUCAUACUUACACUUUGUAAGAGUCUGUAUGUCUGUGCCCAUAAUCCUUUCUGUGAAAGGAUCGCCCUGCAGGUAAAAAUGUUUUUUGUCACCUUGUUGUUCAAAAAAAAAGAAGAAAAAAAAAGAUUUGUUAUAAUGAAGUCUGGUCCGUGCCUUCUUGGUACUAAUGCCCUCAAUAGCCAAUAAAUAGGUACAUUUAUCUACC
This is a long non-coding RNA of Astatotilapia calliptera (eastern happy), 1006 nucleotides long. Lineage: Eukaryota; Metazoa; Chordata; Actinopteri; Cichliformes; Cichlidae. The record is from Ensembl.